CGUACGUAGAGUGUAAAGGCAAAAGAGAGCUUGAUUGAAAGAAAUACAGGUCGAGCAAGGCUGAAACUCGGACUUAGUGAUCCGGUGAUUCUGCGUGGAAGUGCCAUCGCUCAACGGCAACAAGCUACCCUGGGGAUAACAGGCUAAUCUCACCCACGAGUCCACAUCGACGAGGAGGCUUGGCCCAUCGAUGUCGGCUCUCCACAUCAUGGGGCUUCAGUAUGUACAAAGGGUUAUGCUGUUCGCCCAUUAAAGUGGUACGCGAGCUGGGUUCAGCACGUCGUGAGACAGUUCGCUCCCUAUACGUCGCAGGCGGAUGAAAUUUGUGAUGACCUGUCCUUAUUACGAGAGGUCCGUGCUGGACGUACUUCUGGUGUACCAGUUGUCCUGCCAAGGGCAUGGCUGGGUAGCUAUGU
This 416-nucleotide ribosomal RNA is filed under the name Clostridioides difficile. RNAcentral's name for it is "bacterial LSU rRNA". It matches the Rfam family "Bacterial large subunit ribosomal RNA", at positions 2339 to 2754 of the family's 2925-position model. The record is from RNAcentral. Lineage: Bacteria; Bacillati; Bacillota; Clostridia; Peptostreptococcales; Peptostreptococcaceae.